RNAcentral lists this ribosomal RNA (479 nucleotides) under uncultured Actinomycetales bacterium. RNAcentral's name for it is "bacterial SSU rRNA". It matches the Rfam family "Bacterial small subunit ribosomal RNA", at positions 8 to 507 of the family's 1533-position model. Lineage: Bacteria; Bacillati; Actinomycetota; Actinomycetes; Actinomycetales. The record is from RNAcentral.
AGAGUUUGACUCCUGGCUCAGGACGAACGCUGGCGGCGUGCUUAACACAUGCAAGUCGAACGGGCCUCCUUCGGGGGCUAGUGGCGAACGGGUGAGUAACACGUGGGCGACCUGCCUCGCGCUCUGGGAUAAGCCUGGGAAACCGGGUCUAAUACCGGAUAGGACCUGCUCCUGCAUGGGGGCGGGUGGAAAGUCUUCUCGGCGCGAGAUGGGCCCGCGGCCUAUCAGCUUGUUGGCGGGGUGACGGGCCCACCAAGGCGACGACGGGUAGCCGGCCUGAGAGGGCGACCGGCCACACUGGGACUGAGACACGGCCCAGACUCCUACGGGAGGCAGCAGUGGGGAAUAUUGCACAAUGGGCGCAAGCCUGAUGCAGCGACGCCGCGUGGGGGAUGACGGCCUUCGGGUUGUAAACCUCUUUCAGCAGGGACGAAGCGCAAGUGACGGUACCUGCAGAAGAAGCACCGGCCAACUACGUG